UGAUCACCGCCCCAUCACGUUGCGUAUCCAGUUGAUAACGAAACACCGUCCUGCUCAGUGAUAGUAUCUUACAUGCCUGGCGUAUGCUCAUCGGAAACUGCGUAGUCAGACAGUUGACGGGCUCACGCUUUAUCGCUGGUGCU
The sequence is a small RNA, 143 nucleotides long. It matches the Rfam family "isrN Hfq binding RNA". The record is from Rfam.